GGACAGAUGGCAGAGUGGUCGAAUGCGCACGCUUGGAAAGCGUGUGUGCGCUAAUACCGCACCGAGGGUUCGAAUCCCUCUCUGUCCG
Molecule: transfer RNA, 88 nt
Filed under: Verrucomicrobiales bacterium
Lineage: Bacteria; Pseudomonadati; Verrucomicrobiota; Verrucomicrobiia; Verrucomicrobiales
Description: tRNA-Ser
Rfam family: tRNA
About the family: Transfer RNA (tRNA) molecules are approximately 80 nucleotides in length. Their secondary structure includes four short double-helical elements and three loops (D, anti-codon, and T loops).
Source: RNAcentral